Molecule: ribosomal RNA, 451 nt
Filed under: uncultured bacterium
Lineage: Bacteria
Description: partial 16S ribosomal RNA
Rfam family: Bacterial small subunit ribosomal RNA
Source: RNAcentral
AACGAACGCUGGCGGCAGGCCUAACACAUGCAAGUCGAGCGCCCGGAUUUAUCCGGGAGCGGCGCACGGGUGAGUAACGCGUGGGAACAUGCCCUGAAGUACGGAACAACCUGGGGAAACCUUGGCUAAUACCGUAUACGCCCUGAGGGGGAAAGACUUAUCGCUUUGGGAUUGGCCCGCGUUGGAUUAGCUGGUUGGUGUGGUAACGGCGCACCAAGGCGACGAUCCAUAACUGGUCUGAGAGGAUGACCAGUCACACUGGGACUGAGACACGGCCCAGACUCCUACGGGAGGCAGCAGUGGGGAAUAUUGGACAAUGGGCGAAAGCCUGAUCCAGCCAUGCCGCGUGAGUGAAGAAGGCCUUCGGGUUGUAAAGCUCUUUCAGCGGGGACGAUGAUGACGGCACCCGCAGAAGAAGCCCCGGCUAACUUCGUGCCAGCAGCCGCGGUAA